This 454-nucleotide ribosomal RNA is filed under the name uncultured bacterium. Its description in RNAcentral is "bacterial SSU rRNA". It matches the Rfam family "Bacterial small subunit ribosomal RNA", at positions 340 to 786 of the family's 1533-position model. The record is from RNAcentral.
UACGGAAGGCAGCAGUGGGGAAGUAUUGCACAAUGGGCGCAAGCCUGAUGCAGCCAUGCCGCGUGUAUGAAGAAGGCCUUCGGGUUGUAAAGUACUUUCAGUCGUGAGGAAGGUGUUAAGGUUAAUAACCUUAGCAAUUGACGUUAGCGACAGAAGAAGCACCGGCUAACUCCGUGCCAGCAGCCGCGGUAAUACGGAGGGUGCGAGCGUUAAUCGGAAUUACUGGGCGUAAAGGGCACGCAGGCGGUUAAUUAAGUUGGAUGUGAAAUCCCCGGGCUUAACCUGGGAAUGGCAUUCAAGACUGGUUAGCUAGAGUCUUGUAGAGGGGGUAGAAUUCCAUGUGUAGCGGUGAAAUGCGUAGAGAUGUGGAGGAAUCCGGUGGCGAAGGCGGCCCCUGGACAAAGGACUGACGCUCAUGUGCGAAAGCGUGGGGAGCAAACAGGGAUUAGAUACC